CAGUAGCCGCGGGAAUACGUAGGUCCCGAGCGUUGUCCGGAUUUAUUGGGCGUAAAGCGAGCGCAGGCGGUUAGAUAAGUCUGAAGUUAAAGGCUGUGGCUUAACCAUAGUACGCUUUGGAAACUGUUUAACUUGAGUACAGAAGGGGAGAGUGAAAUUCCAUGUGUAGCGGUGAAAUGCGUAGAUAUUAGGAAGAACACCAGUGGCGAAGGCGACUUUCUGGACGAAAACUGACGCUGAGGCUCGAAAGCGUGGGGAGCAAACAGGAUUAGAUACCCCAGUAGUCCCUGUCUCUUAUACA
This 301-nucleotide ribosomal RNA is filed under the name uncultured bacterium. RNAcentral's name for it is "partial 16S ribosomal RNA". It matches the Rfam family "Bacterial small subunit ribosomal RNA", at positions 509 to 808 of the family's 1533-position model. The record is from RNAcentral.